RNAcentral lists this long non-coding RNA (2508 nucleotides) under Gossypium barbadense (sea-island cotton). RNAcentral describes it as "long non-coding RNA (GBAR_LNC003167)". The record is from RNAcentral. Lineage: Eukaryota; Viridiplantae; Streptophyta; Magnoliopsida; Malvales; Malvaceae.
AGAAAAAUAAUUAAAAUGGCCUUAUUACAACCCAAAACCAAACAAUAAUAUUAAUAAGAUAAAACUUAUAAAGAAAUAAAUCGGCUACUUAUUGCAAUUAAAAGAAACAGAAACAGUAGUGUGGCCAUCUCCGAGUCCCUCUCAGCUCCAAACCAUCUAAGCUUAGGGAUUACCUGCAAAGUUAGAAAUAGGGUGAGUUUACGAAAACUCAGUGUGUAAUCCCAAUAACAAACAAACAGUGAAAACACAAUAUCAGUACAAUCUGGGUCAAAGCCCUAUUUAGUCUUGACAUAUACUGGGCCGAAGCCUUUCGUUUAACGAUUACUGGGCCGAAGCCUUUUCAUAAAUCAUAUCACUGGGCCAAAGCCUUUUCAUAAAUCAUUGCACUGGGCUGAAGCCUUUACUGUAAACGGUAUGGCCCAUAGGCCCAUUUCAAUAUCACAUGUAAUGUCAAUGGAUGUAUGCAAGCCCAUUUCAAUAUCACAUGAAAUACCAAUGAAUGUAUGCAAGCCCAUUUGGGGAGACUACUCAACCCACCAUCCGCUACUCUCCACCCGUACCAACCAACACACCAUGUGGGGAAUAACUCAACACACCACUAGCAGCAUAGCUGUUUUAUCAUAUAUCUAGAGGCCUAGCCUCUUUAAUAACUGGGGCAAAGCCCUUUUCGGUAACCUGGGGCAUAAGCCCUUUUCAAUAAACUGGGGCAUAAGCCCUUUUCGGUAAACUGGGGCAUAAGCCCUUUUCGGUAAAUUAGGGCAUAAGCCCUUUUGCACUUCCUCCAUCCAUAUAAAAACCCAACCCAAUGCAACAUGUCAUGUAUGCAGAAUGUCGUGCCCAUAUUUGAAUUAAACAAUCACAGUCAAGUCAUUCAUAUCACCAACAUAUAUUCACAAUCAAAUCCGUCAACCACACAGUCCAAGUCAGUCACUUGCCCACAAGGGCACAACAGUCAUUUUUCACAUUAUAAGGGUAUUGUCGUAAUUUUACCAAAUACCAGGGUUCUCCAUGUUCAUUACAAUUAUCAAUAUUUCUGAGUGUUUAAACAAUGAUCUUUAACCCACUUUAUCAAAUUCAGGCUUUUGGGCCCAAAACCCCUAAUGGGCUCUACGAAUGCUGAUUUAGCCUACUUAACCCAAAUUUUAAAACAAUACUAACCGUGUUAACGUGCAACUUUUUGAAAUUCCAUUUUCUAUCAAUUCUACCCAAAUGGGUCCGAAAGCCCAUUGGGCCCAAUUUCAGCCCAUUGAGGCCCAACUUACCAUCGUGCACAAAAUUGAGUUCUUACCUGUUCCAUCAAUCCAAACACCGAUCUUAUCGUAUUUAUUGCAUCUAUACCCAAAUGCAACAUUACAAGUUCCCGAAAUACCGGUAUUUUAGCAUUUCAGCUUCUCAGCAAAUAUUAAUCUAAGCUAUUAUGAGGGUUAGUACACACCUGUUACGGGUUGAAGUUGAAACGUUUCCAAAAUCAAUCGCCUACGAUAACCACCACCUGUUACUCAAACUUAACUAAUCCAAUAUCAAUAUAUGUAAAUCCUAAGCACAUCAGUCAUACGGAACAUAAGGGCAUAUUCGUCAUUUUACCAUACAGGGGUAUUACGGUCACUUUACCCUACAGGGGCUUUACGGUCUUUUUACCUAAUAGGGGUAUUUUAGUCAUUUCAUCCUCUAAGGGUGUUUUGGUAAAUCUACAAACCAAGGGUAUUUCAAUAAUUUUGUAAACCAAUGGUAUUUCUAUAAUUUUUAGAAAGUCAAGGAUAUUUCUGUAACUUUGUAAAUCAGGGGUAUUUUGGUAAUUUUACAAAUUGAGGCUAUUUCGGUAAUUUCACAAACCAAGGGCAUUUUGGUAAUUUUACAAACUAGGGGUAUUUUGGUAAUUUUACAAACCAAGGGUAUUUUAGUAAUUUUGUAAAUCGAGGGUAAAACGGUAAUUCUAUAAAUCAAGGGUAAAACGAUAAUUCUAUAAGUCGAGGGUAAAAUGAUAAUUAUGUAAAUCGGGGGUAAAACGGUAAUUAUGUAAAUCGGGGGUAAAACGGUAAUUCUGUAAAUCGGGGGUACUUUGGUAAUUUUACACGUCGAAGGUAUUUCAGUAAUUUUACAAAUCGAGGGUAUUUCAGUAUUUUUACAAACUAAGGGUAUUUCGAUAAUUUUAGUAAACAAAAGUAUUCUAAACAGGAUAACAAUACGAAUGGGCCUAAAGCAUAUUCUCGGCCCAAAUAGGCCCACACGCUCGUGUGGCCCUUUUAGCCCAAAUCUAGCCACAGAUAUGAGAUUCACCUAGCCUAGUCUAAUAUUUACUACACAAUCAAACAACUUAUCCAAUUGGGCCCGUAGGCCCAUUGGGCCCACAUGGCCCCUUUCGGCCCAUCGCGGCCCGAAGUAGCCAUCCUACAGCUAGAGUAGUGAGAAAUACACACCUGAUAGGAGACUGGAGUUAAUCCACACUCCGAGCACUCUUAGCCGAUGCCCAACCCAACGAGCACGCCAUACAGCGAAAGGGAUCAGCCA